RNAcentral lists this ribosomal RNA (523 nucleotides) under Lasiodiplodia theobromae. RNAcentral describes it as "eukaryotic LSU rRNA". The stretch from base 145 to 298 matches the Rfam family "5.8S ribosomal RNA". The record is from RNAcentral. Lineage: Eukaryota; Fungi; Ascomycota; Dothideomycetes; Botryosphaeriales; Botryosphaeriaceae.
UCGGCCACCGAGAUUCGGGGCUUCGGCUCGACUCUCCCACCCUUUGUGAACGUACCUCUGUUGCUUUGGCGGCUCCGGCCGCCAAAGGACCUCCAAACUCCAGUCAGUAAACGCAGACGUCUGAUAAACAAGUUAAUAAACUAAAACUUUCAACAACGGAUCUCUUGGUUCUGGCAUCGAUGAAGAACGCAGCGAAAUGCGAUAAGUAAUGUGAAUUGCAGAAUUCAGUGAAUCAUCGAAUCUUUGAACGCACAUUGCGCCCCUUGGUAUUCCGGGGGGCAUGCCUGUUCGAGCGUCAUUACAACCCUCAAGCUCUGCUUGGAAUUGGGCACCGUCCUCACUGCGGACGCGCCUCAAAGACCUCGGCGGUGGCUGUUCAGCCCUCAAGCGUAGUAGAAUACACCUCGCUUUGGAGUGGUUGGCGUCGCCCGCCGGACGAACCUUCUGAACUUUUCUCAAGGUUGACCUCGGAUCAGGUAGGGAUACCCGCUGAACUUAAGCAUAUCAAUAGGCGGAGGAACCG